RNAcentral lists this ribosomal RNA (455 nucleotides) under Pseudomonas aeruginosa. RNAcentral describes it as "bacterial SSU rRNA". It matches the Rfam family "Bacterial small subunit ribosomal RNA", at positions 56 to 507 of the family's 1533-position model. The record is from RNAcentral. Lineage: Bacteria; Pseudomonadati; Pseudomonadota; Gammaproteobacteria; Pseudomonadales; Pseudomonadaceae.
UGCAGUCGAGCGGAUGAAGGGAGCUUGCUCCUGGAUUCAGCGGCGGACGGGUGAGUAAUGCCUAGGAAUCUGCCUGGUAGUGGGGGAUAACGUCCGGAAACGGGCGCUAAUACCGCAUACGUCCUGAGGGAGAAAGUGGGGGAUCUUCGGACCUCACGCUAUCAGAUGAGCCUAGGUCGGAUUAGCUAGUUGGUGGGGUAAAGGCCUACCAAGGCGACGAUCCGUAACUGGUCUGAGAGGAUGAUCAGUCACACUGGAACUGAGACACGGUCCAGACUCCUACGGGAGGCAGCAGUGGGGAAUAUUGGACAAUGGGCGAAAGCCUGAUCCAGCCAUGCCGCGUGUGUGAAGAAGGUCUUCGGAUUGUAAAGCACUUUAAGUUGGGAGGAAGGGCAGUAAGUUAAUACCUUGCUGUUUUGACGUUACCAACAGAAUAAGCACCGGCUAACUUCGUG